RNAcentral lists this ribosomal RNA (520 nucleotides) under Cryptosporidium meleagridis. RNAcentral describes it as "SSU rRNA". It matches the Rfam family "Eukaryotic small subunit ribosomal RNA", at positions 385 to 934 of the family's 1831-position model. Lineage: Eukaryota; Apicomplexa; Conoidasida; Eucoccidiorida; Cryptosporidiidae. The record is from RNAcentral.
GGAGAGGGAGCCUGAGAAACGGCUACCACAUCUAAGGAAGGCAGCAGGCGCGCAAAUUACCCAAUCCUAAUACAGGGAGGUAGUGACAAGAAAUAACAAUACAGGACUUUUUGGUUUUGUAAUUGGAAUGAGUUAAGUAUAAACCCCUUUACAAGUAUCAAUUGGAGGGCAAGUCUGGUGCCAGCAGCCGCGGUAAUUCCAGCUCCAAUAGCGUAUAUUAAAGUUGUUGCAGUUAAAAAGCUCGUAGUUGGAUUUCUGUUAAUAAUUUAUAUAUAAUAUUUGAUUAAUAUUUAUAUAAUAUUAACAUAAUUCAUAUUACUAAAUUUAUUAGUAUAUGAAAUUUUACUUUGAGAAAAUUAGAGUGCUUAAAGCAGGCAUAUGCCUUGAAUACUCCAGCAUGGAAUAAUAUUAAAGAUUUUUAUCUUUCUUAUUGGUUCUAAGAUAAAAAUAAUGAUUAAUAGGGACAGUUGGGGGCAUUUGUAUUUAACAGUCAGAGGUGAAAUUCUUAGAUUUGUUAAAG